CGCUAUCAUCCUACGGGAGGCAGCAGUGGGGAAUAUUGCACAAUGGGCGCAAGCCUGAUGCAGCCAUGCCGCGUGUAUGAAGAAGGCCUUCGGGUUGUAAAGUACUUUCAGCAGUGAGGAAGGUGGAGUCGUUAAUAGCGGCCUCAUUUGACGUUAGCUGCAGAAGAAGCACCGGCUAACUCCGUGCCAGCAGCCGCGGUAAUACGGAGGGUGCGAGCGUUAAUCGGAAUUACUGGGCGUAAAGCGCAUGCAGGUGGUUUGUUAAGUCAGAUGUGAAAGCCCGGGGCUCAACCUCGGAAUUGCAUUUGAAACUGGCAGACUAGAGUACUGUAGAGGGGGUAGAAUUUCAGGUGUAGCGGUGAAAUGCGUAGAGAUCUGAAGGAAUACCGGUGGCGAAGGCGGCCCCCUGGACAGAUACUGACACUCAGAUGCGAAAGCGUGGGGAGCAAACAGGAUUAGAUACCCUGGUAG
This 471-nucleotide ribosomal RNA is filed under the name uncultured bacterium. RNAcentral's name for it is "bacterial SSU rRNA". It matches the Rfam family "Bacterial small subunit ribosomal RNA", at positions 329 to 793 of the family's 1533-position model. The record is from RNAcentral.